This is a long non-coding RNA of Acinonyx jubatus (cheetah), 1959 nucleotides long. RefSeq lists it as uncharacterized. Lineage: Eukaryota; Metazoa; Chordata; Mammalia; Carnivora; Felidae. The transcript has 4 exons. The record is from RefSeq and is a predicted model, not a curated record.
AUUCGGGCUCAUGUUGAAGUGUCAGCUUGAAUCUUCCUUUGGCUCUUCUGUGAAGUCCCCAGCCCCAGCCCAGGCCACAGUUCUACUGUUCUCACUCUUUUGGAUGCCAAGAGCUUUCUUCUCUGUCAAGCACAUGCAACGGCAGACAUCCCUAAUGAACUCCCAAGAAUACAGUCCUUCUCAGAAGAGCAAUCGGAUAGCCUGCCAGGACUAAGCUACCCAGGUUUGGUUCAGGGCUGAAGCUGUUUGCCAGUCAUGGAGAGUAAAUGCUCACAAAUCAUCUGGGAGGUACGGACAAGAGAAGCAAGGUCCGGGGAAGCUGACUUGCCUAAGACUUGGGAGGUGCUGACGUUGUGGCUGGUCCAGGGACCACACCUUGAGAACCUUUCCUGCUGGCAUCUAUCCAGAGUGACUGGGGAAAGAGAAUAAGGCUCGAAGCCUCGAGAAAAGAACUGGUCCCGGUCCCUCAGGAUGGUUGUCUGGCCCACUGGGUCUCCUGGAGAGUAUCAUCCAUGAUCCUGGUGCCCCCAGGACCUUGUCCAGAAAGGUGAACUGGUGUUAUUGAGGACGGACCCCUGGCACCCGGCUUGGUUUUCCUGAGUGAGGCCUUCUGUUGUCACAGGUAUAGCUCUGGUUGUGGGUUGGAGUGUCAAGGGAGAAAGAAGAAGGGAGGCAGCCGGCUAUGCUUGGUGGCCUGGAGGCCUGGAGGGAGUUGAUGGAAAACAUCUGAGCCAAUGGCUCCGUGCACUCAGAAAAUAAAUCCUGGCUUCCGAAGAAGCUGCAGAAAAUUGAUUUUUCGCAGCUUCAGUGGUCAUCCUGAAGGAUUUGGUGGGGCGGAAACUGGGCCCAUUUCUCAUCCCUGUGCUCUGUGCUGUUGGGUCAGGUGCUGAACCGGCUUCUGUUAGAGGCAGAGAGGCCUGGGCCAGCCCCCAGCUCCUGUCAUGUACCUCCCACUGCCUUGUGCAAAUGGGGAGGGGUGGAGGGCCCAUCUCCCUCAGCUUGCCCUCACACCCAGCUGCUUCUCGCCCAUGGCUUGCCUCUUGCGCCUGCUACCAUGGACGUGAAAGGUGCAUGUGUUCAUGCAGCUGAGCUAGGAUUAAGGCAGUUGUACACGGGUGCAGCUGUGGGUCUUUGGUGUCUGGGGCACUGUGGGGCAGUGGCGGGUGGAUGCCUUGGGGAGCUCAGCCUGUCUGUGUCUGUUUAGUCCCUCGCUGAGCACUGCCGUUGGCUGCUAAGAUCUCAAUUGGCCAUGAGCGCCACGCGGGCUGCCCCAGGGACGGGCCUUGUCUGGGGAGAAGGAUUAGCUUUUGGUACAUUUUCCCUUCAUGUGUGGAGCAUGCACUUAGCCCAGGCCCAAGGGAGCUGAAGGUUCCCACAGCCAGGGAGGGAGCCGCAGCUACAGACUGAUGGUUCCCGGAGCUCCUGUUGGCUUUGGAUGAUUUUAUGGAAAACUUGGCUAGGGUGUUGUGAGACAUAGCUAUGACCUCUUGGCCCAGCAGCCAGCACAAGGAAUGGCUUAGCCUUCCUGAGACGUGUGGUGUGGGCUACGACAUCCCUCCCCCGGCCAAGAGUCCAGGGGACCGAGGACUUGGCUCUGCCCCAACUCUACCCCAAGCCCUGAGACACCCUGGACACACACCCUGCCUGUCUCUGGCCCCCAGCCUGCUCCUUGGCUAUCAGGAGGGAAUAAUCCAUUCCUUGCUGGGGUGGUGAGAAUAUCCACUGAGAUGGGACUGGAUCUAAAGUGCUCACCCUAGGGGCGCCUGGGUGGCUCAGUCGGUUGAGCAUCCAAUGUCAGCUAAGGUCAUGAUCUUACAGCUUCUGAGUUCAAGCCCCACCUCGGGCUCCGUGCCGACAGCUCAGAGUCUGGAGCCUGCUUCUGAUUCUGUGUCUCCCUCCCUCUCUCUCUGCCCCUUCCCCACUCAUGCUCUGUCUCUCUCUCCCUUAAAAAUAAAUAAA